GAGGGUAUAGCUCAGUGGUAGAGCACAUGCUUAGCAUGUGGGAGGUCCUGGUUCAAUCCCCAGUUCCUCCA
Molecule: transfer RNA, 71 nt
Filed under: Camelus bactrianus (Bactrian camel)
Lineage: Eukaryota; Metazoa; Chordata; Mammalia; Artiodactyla; Camelidae
Also listed under: 2 other names
Rfam family: tRNA
About the family: Transfer RNA (tRNA) molecules are approximately 80 nucleotides in length. Their secondary structure includes four short double-helical elements and three loops (D, anti-codon, and T loops).
Source: Rfam by way of RNAcentral